UACGGAGGAUCCAAGCGUUAUCCGGAAUCAUUGGGUUUAAAGGGUCCGUAGGCGGUUUAAUAAGUCAGUGGUGAAAGCCCAUCGCUCAACGGUGAAACGGCCAUUGAUACUGUUAAACUUGAAUUAUUUAGGAAGUAACUAGAAUAUGUAGUGUAGCGGUGAAAUGCUUAGAGAUUACAUGGAAUACCAAUUGCGAAGGCAGGUUACUACUAAUGGAUUGACGCUGAUGGACGAAAGCGUGGUAGCGAACAGG
Molecule: ribosomal RNA, 253 nt
Filed under: uncultured bacterium
Lineage: Bacteria
Description: partial 16S ribosomal RNA
Rfam family: Bacterial small subunit ribosomal RNA
Source: RNAcentral